UGCCAGGGAAUAAUUUUCUCAUGGAUGCAUGAACCUCAGCAUAAUGAGCAAUGAUGAAAAACGCAAAACAUCAGCAACUUUCUGUCACAUGUAAGAGCUGGAAACAAAACUGUUGCUACAGUGACAAAGAGCAUCCUGUCAUAGGCUGCUUGUGGAUGUGAAUGGCCACAAAAUGAUUACAUAAGGGACUGCACAAUUUACAACGCUGGCAGCACAAAUUACAUACCAAUAGAAUAAAAGGAAUAUCCUUUCACAAGUCCAAGCAACACAAACAUGCACAUCCCCCACAAGAAUAACUCUGUUUAUUCCCACCAGUUUCCUAUCAGCUGACAACAGCUCUGGUACCUGAAUAACAUGUUCACAUCUGGGUGAGCAGAAGAUGCUGACAGAAAAGGGAAAGUUCGGAGACAUCUUGGGUACAAUGUAUGAAGAGAACGCAGUGUGGGUAAAUCCAAAUUACUGUACGACACCCAACUUUUCCACUGCAGUUCUGAAUCCACAGCCUUGGAUUCUAGAAUAGAUUACCUCGGAAUCUAGCUGAGGAUUAGCAAAUGGGUCACAGCCAUCAACGUUUUAGUCACUUUUUUUCCAUAUUUUAUUUUGCCUUAGAAUACAGUUUAUAAACAGAAACGUUAUUAAGUUUUGUAAAGUUAACCUUUGCAGAUUGUUACAUUUUUUAAAUCAACAUCAAAUCAGGGAGCUUUUGAGUUAAUAAGAAGAGAGAUCUUCAGACUGGAGAUAUAUAUAUUUUUUAAUCUGAGACCAAAAGAGAUGCGUACAUCCAUGUAACAUUUUGAAGACUGUGAAACAGCCAAAUGACAGCGCUGAGUACGCCCUUGUGUGGCUGAACACACAUCAAACCUUCUGCAUUGUGUAUGCAUUCUAAAUUCACUUGGGCAGGUAAAUAGCUGUAAAAGCCUGAAUCUCUGCUUCCAUUUGAUUGCAGUAUCACAGAAUUCUGGCUAGAAGACAGACAGCAUGUAAAGCCAAUAUUAAAAAUGUUACCUGCCCACCAUCUUAUGCAGCUGCAUUCUGAAACAGAAAGUCAGCAUUCAGUAGCAUGUAUGUCAUGACUGCAGCAAACUACCACGUACAACCAAAAUGUUUAUUUCAGCCUUGGUUCAAAAAUGUCUCCUUAUAUUUGCUUAUGAUUCCACGUUUCACAGAUGCGGCUUCUAAGAAAGAUCAUAAACAGAAAGCUCUGUGAUAAAACUGCUGUUUGCACAUCUUAAAACAACUUCAUAAUCACUUCAGUUUGCUAGUUUUGCUCUCUAUAUGAAGCAGUUAUGGGAGAGCACAAAAUCAUUGAUUGGCUUAGUUUGGAGGGGACCUUAAAAACCAUUUAACUUCAACUCCAGGCAGACUUGACAAUCACUAGAUCAGGCUGCCCAGGGUCCCAUCCAACCUGGCCUUCAAUAUGCCUCCAGAGAUGGAGCAUCCACAGCUCCUCUGCACACUGUUCCAGCACCUCAUCACCCUGUCAGUUAAAAACGUAUUCCCAGCAUCUAAACCUCUUUUAGUAAAAAGCCAUUCCCCUGUGUCCUGUCAUUACCAUACAGUACUAAAAGUCAGUCCUCCUCCUCCUUGCAAGCUCCCUCCAAGUACCAGAAGCCCUUUGAUGAUUUGUGCGAGUCCUCUAGACUCGCUUCAACAGUUAUGCAUCCUUCCUGUAUUGGGGGCCCCAGGCUUGGACACGGUAUUCCAGAUAGGGCCUCACAAGGGCAGAACAGAGUGGGACAAUCCAAAUCCCAACCCAGUAUGAAGACAAGAGGCAUGGAGCACUGCACUACAGAUGAGAUUUAUGAUGAAACUGAUUCUCUUCCCAAACUACCUCUGAGAAAAAAAAAGAAUCUGCAGGUAGCCUGGUAUGCUCCCAUCCAGUAUUUGGGACUCCAAACAUAAAAUACCCAAGCCUUCGAGUCAGACACGUGGCAAGAAGUUAUCGGGCAGUUUACACUACUCAGAGGCAGAAGCUGAGGUAACUUCACAGCAGGAAUAUCAGUGUCCAAGUCUGAAAGAAACUGCCCAGGCUGUUACAGUAAAUGACUUUUAUUUAAAAAAAUGAAAUAACCGUGAACAUAUUAACAGGCCUGCAGGUGGCACUACAGUACAGCUGGAUAUAAGGUAGAUAUAUUUCCCCACGUACCCAGACAAUGAAAUCCAUUGCAUCAACGCUGACAUUAGUAAAAUCUGAAUACGGUUCUAUCAAGCAGGAACAUUUUACUUAAAAUAGUUCUGGACAAAGUUGAUACCUGAAGGAUAACUUUUCCUUCAUUUUUGGAAAGGAUAAAUGUUUUCAGCUAGCACUGGUACUGGAAAAACUAUUGCCUGUAGUUACCAGUGCAGGUAGAGAUGUACAACAUCUCUACAUGAGAACAGAGUUCCAACUCCUUUUUACUUCUCAUUCUGUGGAAGCAGCAGGGAGACAGAAGAAGAUGAGUGAGGAAUAUGGGUAAGGAAGGUGGGUUGUCAAUUUCUAUUCACACUCCUUUGGCUGUUUUUGUGCUAUUCUGGACUGCUUUCUAAAAAUCACUUCUUGAUUUUAUUAAAAGGAAGACUAAAUGUAAUAUGCCUUUCCUUGAAAAUCCAAGAACAGUUGUGGUACUUCAAAAAUACUAAAAAUAUCUACUUUCAUGAAAUAUUAACUGUUUAACUACAAACCUAGUUUUUCACUAAAUACACAAUUCUCCUGUUUCUGGAAUCUCCUGGGAGAAAAAAAAAAAAAAAGUGUGUUCUCCCUUUAGUUCUGCAACUCUACAGUGUAUAGGGAAGUGGCUGCAAGAAGGGGAGUGCAGAGAAUAGCUCUGUUUCCUUGGCCUGUAUCUCAUGUGGGAAAUUUACUUAAAUUUCUGCAGUUGGGCUACUGUUACUCACACUCUUUCAGCAGCUACCAGCUAAGUCUGCAGUAGGAUGACCCACCUCCAGCAAACUUUGCUACCUUUAGAGACUAACUAGGCAUGAGGAAAAACAUCCACACUCUUUUCACCACUUCUGACCAUAAUACGUAGGAACACCAAGUAGGUUCCAUGUUCUUCCAAUUUGCAAAAGGCCACAAGAAAGGGACAUGGCACCUUUCAUUAGAAUCUGGAAUUCCACAUGUAGAAGUGCAACCUUCCAUUAGACCUUCAGUGUUGAGGCAGCGUAGAAAACAGUAGCUGAAGAGUGUAUAAUAUGAACCACACCAGCUCUCAGUGUGAAGCCUCUACUCCUGCAGAGGCAGACAGGUGUAGUCCCUGUAUAUACUGUGAGUAAAAGGCUUACUUCACAGGGUGCUUGGACUUCGCAGUUCCUAUGAUCUAGCUAGUUUGGAUUCAUGAGCUUUCAGUGUGCCAACAGCAUCUUUCACUGCAUGGUAGAUAAUGUUCUUCACCUGUAAUUUAUCCUCAUGGUUUGUAUGAGUAUUAGACAGGUGCCUGAACUCCUGGGUCAGACGGAAGCAGUGCUUCACAUGUUCUGGAGAUACAAAAUCUUCUGCCACUUUA
Non-coding RNA from Coturnix japonica (Japanese quail), 3482 nucleotides. Lineage: Eukaryota; Metazoa; Chordata; Aves; Galliformes; Phasianidae. The record is from RefSeq and is a predicted model, not a curated record.